GCUUACGGCCAUACCACCCUGGACACGCCAGAACUCGUCUGAUCUCGGAAGCAAAGGAGGGUCGGGCCUGGUCAGUACUUGGACAGGAGACCGCCUGGGACCACCAGGUGCUGUAAGCU
RNAcentral lists this ribosomal RNA (119 nucleotides) under Sphaeramia orbicularis (orbiculate cardinalfish). Lineage: Eukaryota; Metazoa; Chordata; Actinopteri; Kurtiformes; Apogonidae. The record is from RNAcentral.